AUCCAGAUGAAAACUCCCAAAUAAGACGAAACACGCGUCCUGGAU
Molecule: non-coding RNA, 45 nt
Filed under: Schistosoma mansoni
Lineage: Eukaryota; Metazoa; Platyhelminthes; Trematoda; Strigeidida; Schistosomatidae
Source: RNAcentral